This 99-nucleotide ribosomal RNA is filed under the name Janthinobacterium sp. BJB312. Its description in RNAcentral is "partial 16S ribosomal RNA". It matches the Rfam family "Bacterial small subunit ribosomal RNA", at positions 1 to 91 of the family's 1533-position model. The record is from RNAcentral. Lineage: Bacteria; Pseudomonadati; Pseudomonadota; Betaproteobacteria; Burkholderiales; Oxalobacteraceae.
AGAGAUUAAACUGAAGAGUUUGAUCCUGGCUCAGAUUGAACGCUGGCGGCAUGCCUUACACAUGCAAGUCGAACGGCAGCACGGAGCUUGCUCUGGUGG